This is a long non-coding RNA of Myxocyprinus asiaticus (Chinese sucker), 1213 nucleotides long. RefSeq lists it as uncharacterized. The record is from RefSeq and is a predicted model, not a curated record. The transcript is spliced from 3 exons. Lineage: Eukaryota; Metazoa; Chordata; Actinopteri; Cypriniformes; Catostomidae.
ACAUUUUAGUCUGUUCUCACCCAAACCCAAUUAGAUCUCUUCAGAAGACAUGGAUUAAACCACUGGAGUCUUAUGGAUUACUUUUAUGCUGCCUUUAUGUGCUUUUUGAAGCUUCAAAAUGUUGGUCACCAUUCGCUUGCACUAUAUGGACCUACAGAACUGAGAUAUUCUUCAAAAAAUUCUUCAUUUGUGCUCAGCAGAAGAAAGUCAUACAAAUAUGGGAUGGCAUGAGGGUCGAGCGAGCAUCCUGUUUACGGACUAGAGAAGCUGCUCCCGUUAGGUCUGGAUAUUUGACUUGGCACAGGUUUUACUCCGGAUGCCCUUCCUGACGCAACCCCAGUGGCUGACACUCACUCACACCUACGGUGCAAUUUUAGAGUCUCCAAUUCACUUAACCUGCAUGUUUUUCGACUUGUGGGGGAAACCAGAGCGAACACAGGGAGAACAUGCAAACUCCCCACAGAAAAGCCCAGCUGAGCCGGGACUCAAACCUGGGACCUUCUUGCUGUGAGGCGACAGUGCUAACCACUGAGCCACCGUGCCAACCCAAAACAAUUCAUACAAAUCAUUACAGUAGAAGAACAAGAGGAAAUAUUUUGAAUAUUGUCUUGGACAAUGGGGGGCCUUGGCUUCAAAAAGGUUGAGAACCACUGGCAAACUAAAACACUCCCGUUAUAAUCAACGUAGCAGUGCACACUUCAAUUGCAAUGUGACCUGACAAAACUAGAACACUUGCAUUACAAUCAACAAAGCUGUCUACACUGCAAGCGCAACACAACAAAACUAGAUCACUUGUAUUAUAUCAACGAAGCCAUCUACACAUUUCGCGUUUGCAGUGUAGACAUCUAUCUUCGUAGAUCAAAAUAAGAGCAUAAAUAAAAUAAUUCUAGCUAGUUGUGGUGUCAAAGCUUGCAGUGUAGACUGGAACUAGAAACAGCUGUGAGCCAACAGCAAAACAGACGCAGACAAACACACACAAACACGCUGCCAGCAAACACUUUUGCUAUGCAAAUUUAAGGGCGGUGGCGUGCUUUCCGCAUGAAAACACACGUAAAAACCACGCUGUGGGACAUAAACACCAUGUGUUCACUCUGAGGGACUAAAAACGAAAACAAAAGUAGCGAGAAUCAUCUGUCAGGUACUAGGCCUCUCUUAGGGUCAGAGAUCGAUUGUCUUUAUAUUGGGAAUGAUAAAAUAUUAAAUUAAACAUACA